ACGGAGGGUGCAAGCGUUAUUCGGAAUUACUGGGCGUAAAGGGCGUGAAGGCGGGAGAGCAAGUCUGAUGUGAAAGCCCGGGGCUUAACCCCGGAAGGGCAUUGGAAACUGCUUUUCUUGAGUUCUGGAGAGGAAGGGAGAAUUCCCGGUGGAGAGGAGAAAGGCGAAGAGCUCGGGAGGAGCAGCAGUGGCGAAGGCGACCUUCUGGACAGCAACUGACGCUGGGCCGCGUGAGCGUUUGGUGCUUACAG
This 251-nucleotide ribosomal RNA is filed under the name uncultured prokaryote. Its description in RNAcentral is "partial 16S rRNA". It matches the Rfam family "Bacterial small subunit ribosomal RNA", at positions 525 to 775 of the family's 1533-position model. The record is from RNAcentral.